CCAGCAAAUAGGGCACUUGGCGCUGGGAUGGGCAACCUCUUGUAGGUUUCAUGCUGUUUAAUAGCUCAUUAGUUCUGCAAGGUAGCAAUUUUCUCCUCUUCUUUUUUAAUGCAUGGGAGAUGGAGAAACGAGUCAGGAAGCAGCUGAUGGAAAACAGCCUUGCCUCCAUCCACCUUUUGCUAUUUACCUAGUUCCUUCAUAAUCACUCUACUUCUGCUUACAAGUGGGGAGCCUGACAAAGAUCUGUGCCGAGUGAAUUGUUGCCUCCAAUAAGCUUUUUUAAAAAAGAUUUUGGAGUAUUCUUUGUUUAAAAAUAGUGCCUCCCAAAUGCCUCAAGCAGGUGCUUUUCUUGUUUUGUCCAAGAAGGUCCUUAUUAACUCAUCCCAGCCCUGUUCUUAAGUGAGCUUUCCAGUUUGACAGCUGUCAUUCUGCACAUUGGAAAAUAUCUACCGUGUGUGGCUCAAGAAGAUUCUGAGGAUACAUUUUGAUGGGUUCUUCAAGUUCUAUUUUCUUUUAGAUUGCAAUGAGCAAAUAAUAGGUCAUUUUUGUUGACCCACAGGAGAUACACGUAGUGCUUAAAUCUGGCUAGGAGCUUAAAAAAAAAUGCUGAGAUCUGAACCUCGUUUUCAGUGCCAGCCCUUAUCUUGGGAUGGAUAAGGAAAGUGCAUCUGAGCAUGCACACUCCCCCCCCCAAACAGUUUUGUGUCAGGGCUUCCAGGUCAGUGCAUCGAAACUGGAAUGCAAUCUAGUUUCUAGUUUUGGAAGCACAUUUCUUCUCUCCAUAACAAGCAUUUUAUGGCAUGUAAUGAUAUGCCUGGUUUUUCUUGUGUGCACAUUUAAUAGCUUCGGUACAUGCUGUUGUUGUUGUUUAGUCGUUUAGUCGUGUCUGACUCUUCGUGACCCCAUGGACCAGAGCACGCCAGGCACUCCUGUCUUCCACUGCCUCCCGCAGUUUGGUCAAACUCAUGCUGGUAGCUUCAAGAACACUGUCCCACCAUCUCGUCCCCUGUCGUCCCCUUCUCCGUGUGCCCUCAAUCUUUCCCAACAUCAGGGUCUUUUCUAGGGAGUCUACUCUUCUCAUGAAGUGGCCAAAGUAUUGGAGCCUCAGCUUCACGUUCUGUCCUUCCAGUGAGCACUCAGGGCUGAUUUCCUUAAGAAUGGAUAGGUUUGAUCUUCUUGCAGUCCAUGGGACAUAGAAGGCUUCAGUACAUAGAAGGUUUCUACUCUGGGUGGCAAAUUUCAAAGAUGCAAUACAUCAGUAGUGAGCAACUCGCGACGCAGUCAGGCCUCUGACUUUUCCGUUGCAGUUCAAAAGGCAAGCCUCUGCUGAGACUUGGGGCUUAUCCACACCGACCAUUUGCCUCACUCUUUCCAGGCAGUGGUCUAUGCUUUAAUGUUCCAUGUCCAAGCAAGGAGGUGUUUUGGGGUGUGUGUGUGAUUUUUCUCCCUGUGAAAACCCACUUUUUAAAGCUGAAUUGGAGCUGCUGUCGUAAAUCUGUGUAAGCUUUCAAAUUACAAAGAGCCCUUCUGCUUGAUGCUUUUGUUUGUCUCUUAAACAUGCACCCUCUUACGCAUACAGUGGUACCUUGGUUCUCAAACUUAAUCUGUUCCGGAAGUCUGUUCCAAAACCAAGGAACGCUUUCCCAUGGAAAGUAAUGCAAAAUGGAUUAAACCGUUCCAGACUUUUAAAAACAACCCCUAAAACAGCAAUUUAACAUUAAUUUUACUAUCUUACGAGACCAUUGAUCCAUAAAAUGAAAGCUAUAAACAAUAUACUGACUAUGAAGAAAAGAGUAUUGUAGAUUAUAAAAAAUUUCUUACUUGAACUGAUGAGUCAUUGUUUGGAUGGGGGGCUUUUAUCCAUUUCCAGUCACACAAUCAAUCAAUCAAUCAAUCAAUCAGUAGCUGAACUGGGAUCCACACAGUCACACAAAAAAAUUAACAGAAAAAGCCUC
Non-coding RNA from Podarcis lilfordi (Lilford's wall lizard), 1955 nucleotides. The record is from the annotation of a GenBank genome assembly. Lineage: Eukaryota; Metazoa; Chordata; Lepidosauria; Squamata; Lacertidae.